This 855-nucleotide ribosomal RNA is filed under the name uncultured bacterium. RNAcentral describes it as "bacterial SSU rRNA". It matches the Rfam family "Bacterial small subunit ribosomal RNA", at positions 1 to 867 of the family's 1533-position model. The record is from RNAcentral.
GGAUCCAGACUUUGAUUCUGGCUCAGGAUGAACGCUGGCGGCGUGCUUAACACAUGCAAGUCGAACGAUUGAAGCUGGAGCUUGCUCCGGCCGAUUUAGUGGCGGACGGGUGAGUAACGCGUGGGUAACCUGCCUCAUACAGGGGGAUAGCAGUUGGAAACGACUGGUAAAACCGCAUAAGCGCACGGUAUCGCAUGAUACAGUGUGAAAACACUCCGGUGGUAUGAGAUGGACCCGCGUCUGAUUAGCUAGUUGGCGAGGUAACGGCCCACCAAGGCGACGAUCAGUAGCCGGCCUGAGAGGGUGAACGGCCACAUUGGGACUGAGACACGGCCCAAACUCCUACGGGAGGCAGCAGUGGGGAAUAUUGCACAAUGGGGGAAACCCUGAUGCAGCGACGCCGCGUGAGUGAUGAAGUAUUUCGGUAUGUAAAGCUCUAUCAGCAGGGAAGAUAAUGACGGUACCUGACUAAGAAGCACCGGCUAAAUACGUGCCAGCAGCCGCGGUAAUACGUAUGGUGCAAGCGUUAUCCGGAUUUACUGGGUGUAAAGGGUGCGUAGGUGGCAAGGCAAGUCUGAAGUGAAAAUCCGGGGCUCAACCCCGGAACUGCUUUGGAAACUGUUUAGCUAGAGUACAGGAGAGGUAAGUGGAAUUCCUAGUGUAGCGGUGAAAUGCGUAGAUAUUAGGAGGAACACCAGUGGCGAAAGGCGACUUACUGGACUGCUACUGACACUGAGGCACGAAAGCGUGGGGAGCAAACAGGAUUAGAUACCCUGGGUAGUCCACGCCGUAAACGAUGAAUACUAGGUGUUGGGUUCCAAAGGAACUCGGUGCCGUCGCAAACGCAUUAAGUAU